Molecule: ribosomal RNA, 253 nt
Filed under: uncultured bacterium
Lineage: Bacteria
Description: partial 16S ribosomal RNA
Rfam family: Bacterial small subunit ribosomal RNA
Source: RNAcentral
UACGUAGGUGGCAAGCGUUAUCCGGAUUUACUGGGUGUAAAGGGCGUGUAGGCGGGAAAGCAAGUCAGAUGUGAAAACCAUGGGCUCAAUCUGUGGCCUGCAUUUGAAACUGUUUUUCUUGAGUACUGGAGAGGCAGACGGAAUUCCUAGUGUAGCGGUGAAAUGCGUAGAUAUUAGGAGGAACACCAGUGGCGAAGGCGGCUUUCUGGACUGAAACUGACGCUGAGGCACGAAAGCGUGGGGAGCGAACAGG